RNAcentral lists this ribosomal RNA (424 nucleotides) under uncultured prokaryote. Its description in RNAcentral is "bacterial SSU rRNA". It matches the Rfam family "Bacterial small subunit ribosomal RNA", at positions 355 to 796 of the family's 1533-position model. The record is from RNAcentral.
CAAGGAAUUUUCCCCAAUGGGCGCAAGCCUGAGGGAGCAACGCCGCGUGCAGGAUGACGGCUUUCGGGUUGUAAACUGCUUUUGCGUGGGACGAUAACGACGGUACCACGCGAAUAAGCCCCGGCCAACUCUGUGCCAGCAGCCGCGGUAAUACAGAGGGGGCAAGCGUUGUCCGGACUUACUGGGCGUAAAGCGCACGCAGGUGGUAAGGCAAGUGGGGUGUGAAAGCCGCCAGCUUAACUGGCGGAGGCCAUCCCAAACUGCGUCACUUGAGGCCUGUAGAGGUAUGUGGAAUUGCCGGUGUAGUGGUGAAAUGCGUAGAGAUCGGCAGGAACACCCAGGGGGAAGCCAGCAUACUGGACAGGUCCUGACACUCAGGUGCGAAAGCGUGGGGAGCAAACAGAAUUAGAUACCCGCGUAGUCC